UUCCCGGUUGAUCUUGCCAGUAGCAUAUGCUUGUCUCAAAGAUCAAGCCAUGCUUAUGUAAGUACGCAUGGCUGGUACAGUGAAACUGCGAAUGGCUCAUUAAAUCAAUUAUGGUUCCUUUGAUCACUCGCUCCUCUCCUGCUUGGACAACUGUGGUAAUUCUAGAGCUAAUACAUACUGACCGGUGCUGACCCUCUUCGCGGGGGUGGGGAGGGGAUGCAUGCAUUUAUCAUAUCAAAACCAGCCUGGUCAGCUCCCUCUUGGCCCCGGGCAGAGUGGGCACCCUAGAUAGCCUCCGGCAGAUCACAAGCCCCCCACCCCAUGGUGGCGACGACCCAUUCGAACAUCUGCCCUAUCAACUUUCAAUGGUAGUUGCCAUGCCUACCAUAGUGACCACUGGUGACAGGGAAUCAGGGUUCGAUUCCAGAGAGGGAGCCUGAGAAAUGGCUAACACAUCCAAGAAAGGCAGCAGGUGCACAAAUUACCCACUCCUGAUCCAGGGAGGUAGUGACAAAAAAUAGCAAUACAGGACCCUUUCGAGGCCCUGUAAUUGGAAUGAGUCCACUUUAAAUCCUGUUGUGAGGAUCCAUUGGAGGGCAAGUCUGGUGCCAGCAGCCACGGUAAUUUCAGCUCCAAAUAGCAUAUAUUAAAGUUGCUGCAGUUUAAAAGCUCGUAGUUGGAUCUCUGGAGCAAGGCAGGUGGUCCGCCAGGAAGCGAGCCAUCGCCUGUUCCGCCCCUUGCCUCUCUGGGCCCCUUAGAUGCUCCUGGCUGAGUAUCCCGCAGGCCCAAAGCAUUUACUUUGAAACAAUUAGAAUGUCCAAAGCAGGCCUGAGCCGCCUGGAUACUGCAGCUAGGAAUAAUGGAAUAGGACUGCUGUUCUAUUUUGUUGGUUUUUGGAACUGAGGCCAUGGUUAAGAGGGAGGGCCGGGUCAUUCGUAAGCGCUGCUAGAGGAGAAAUUCUUGGACCAGCGCAAGACGGACCAGAGUGAAACCAUCUGCCGAGAAUGUUUUCAUUAAUCAAGAAUGAAAGUCGGAGGUUCCAAGACGAUCAGAUACCGUCGUAGUUCUGACCAUAAACGAUGCCAACUGGCGAUGUGGCGGCAUUAUUCCCGUGACCUGCUGGGCAGCUUCCAGGAAACCAAAGUCUUUGGGUUCCAGGGGAGUAUGGUUGCAAAGCUGAAACUUAAAGGAAUUGACAGAAGGGCACCACCAGGAGUGGAGCCUGCGGCUUAAUUUGACUCAAUAUGAGACACGGAUAGGAUUAACAGAUUGAUAGCUCCUUCUCAAUCCUGUGGGUGGUGGUGCAUGGCUGUUCUUAAUAGGUGGAGUGAUUUGUCUGGUUAAUUCCGAUAACGAACGAGACUCUAGCAUGCUAACUAGUUAUGCAACCCCCGAGAGGUCAGCGUCCCCCAACUUCUGAGAGGGACAAGUGGCGUUCAGCCACCCAAGACUGAGCAAUAACAGGUCUGUGAUGCCCUUAGAUGUCCGGGGCUGCACGUGCGCUACACUGAUUGGCUCAGCGUGUGCUUACCCUAUGCCGGCAGGGCAGGCACGGGUAACCGGUUGAACCCCAUUCGUGAUGGGGAUCAGGGAUUGCAAUUAUUCCCCAAGAAUGAGGAAUUCCCAGUAAGUUCGGAUCAUAAGCUUGCGUUAAGUCCCUGCCCUUUGUACACACCACCCGUCGUUAUUACCAAUUGGAUAGUUUAGGGAAGUCCUCAGAUCGGCCCACCGGGGUCGGCCCACGGCCCUGGUGGAGUGCUGAGAAGACUGUGGAACUUAACUAUCUAGAGGAAGUAAAAGUCAUAACAAGGUUUCCAUAGGUGAACCUGUGGCAGGAUCAUUA
Cavia porcellus (domestic guinea pig) is the source of this 1843-nucleotide ribosomal RNA. It matches the Rfam family "Eukaryotic small subunit ribosomal RNA". The record is from Rfam. Lineage: Eukaryota; Metazoa; Chordata; Mammalia; Rodentia; Caviidae.